This 253-nucleotide ribosomal RNA is filed under the name uncultured bacterium. RNAcentral describes it as "partial 16S ribosomal RNA". It matches the Rfam family "Bacterial small subunit ribosomal RNA", at positions 524 to 776 of the family's 1533-position model. The record is from RNAcentral.
GACGAACCGUGCGAACGUUGUUCGGAUUCACUGGGCUUAAAGGGCGCGUAGGCGGGCGACCAAGUCAGGGGUGAAAUCUUUCGGCUCAACCGGAAAACUGCCCCUGAUACUGGCCGUCUUGAGGGAGGUAGGGGUCUGUGGAACUUCUGGUGGAGCGGUGAAAUGCGUAGAUAUCAGAAGGAACGCCGGUGGCGAAAGCGACGGACUGGACCUCAUCUGACGCUGAGGCGCGAAAGCUAGGGUAGCGAACGGG